UGAGCAAUCUGCCCUUCUCUUUGGAAUAAGCGUUGGAAACGACGUCUAAUGCCGAAUACGACCUCCUUUCGCAUGAUCGGAGGUGGAAAGCUCCGGCGGAGAAGGAUGAGCUCGCGGCCUAUCAGCUAGUUGGUGUGGGUAAUGGCCCACCAAGGCGACGACGGGUAGCUGGUCUGAGAGGAUGGCCAGCCACACUGGGACUGAGACACGGCCCAGACCUGUACGGGGAGG
RNAcentral lists this ribosomal RNA (231 nucleotides) under uncultured bacterium. RNAcentral's name for it is "partial 16S ribosomal RNA". It matches the Rfam family "Bacterial small subunit ribosomal RNA", at positions 118 to 347 of the family's 1533-position model. The record is from RNAcentral.